AACGAACGCUGGCGGCAGGCCUAACACAUGCAAGUCGAACGAGAAGCUACCUUCGGGUAGUGGAUAGUGGCAGACGGGUGAGUAACGCGUGGGAACGUGCCUUUCGGUUCGGAAUAACUCAGGGAAACUUGGGCUAAUACCGGAUACGCCCUUCGGGGGAAAGAUUUAUCGCCGAAAGAUCGGCCCGCGUCAGAUUAGCUUGUUGGUGAGGUAAUGGCUCACCAAGGCGACGAUCUGUAGCUGGUCUGAGAGGAUGAUCAGCCACACUGGGACUGAGACACGGCCCAGACUCCUACGGGAGGCAGCAGUGGGGAAUAUUGGACAAUGGGCGAAAGCCUGAUCCAGCCAUGCCGCGUGGGUGAAGAAGGCCUUAGGGUUGUAAACCCCUUUCAGCGGGGAAGAUAAUGACGGUACCCGCAGAAGAAGCUCCGGCUAACUCCG
Molecule: ribosomal RNA, 441 nt
Filed under: uncultured Hyphomicrobiaceae bacterium
Lineage: Bacteria; Pseudomonadati; Pseudomonadota; Alphaproteobacteria; Hyphomicrobiales; Hyphomicrobiaceae
Description: bacterial SSU rRNA
Rfam family: Bacterial small subunit ribosomal RNA
Source: RNAcentral